ACGGAGGGUGCAAGCGUUGUUCGGAAUCACUGGGCGUAAAGGGAGCGCAGGCGGUUUGUCAAGUCAGAUGUGAAAGCCCACGGCUCAACCGUGGAAGUGCAUUUGAAACUGGCAGACUUGAGUAUCAGAGGGGAAAGUGGAAUUCCCGGUGUAGAGGUGAAAUUCGUAGAUAUCGGGAGGAAUACCGGUGGCGAAGGCGACUUUCUGGCUGAAUACUGACGCUGAGGCUCGAAAGCGUGGGGAGCAAACAGG
RNAcentral lists this ribosomal RNA (252 nucleotides) under uncultured bacterium. RNAcentral describes it as "partial 16S ribosomal RNA". It matches the Rfam family "Bacterial small subunit ribosomal RNA", at positions 525 to 776 of the family's 1533-position model. The record is from RNAcentral.